This is a non-coding RNA of Podarcis lilfordi (Lilford's wall lizard), 80 nucleotides long. The record is from the annotation of a GenBank genome assembly. Lineage: Eukaryota; Metazoa; Chordata; Lepidosauria; Squamata; Lacertidae.
GGGCUAGAGCUAAGUGGUAGAGCAUCUGCUUUGCAUGCAGAGGGCUCCAAAUUCAAACCCUGGCACCUCCUGCUAGCUCU